RNAcentral lists this long non-coding RNA (230 nucleotides) under Solanum tuberosum (potato). Its description in RNAcentral is "long non-coding RNA (STUB_LNC011246)". The record is from RNAcentral. Lineage: Eukaryota; Viridiplantae; Streptophyta; Magnoliopsida; Solanales; Solanaceae.
UUCAGGCCUUAACUUAGAAAUUUUCAAAAUGUUACAUGAUUACAAGUGAUGUAAAUUUUUUAAAUACAAGUGAUACAAGUGCGGAGGAAUAUUAAUACAAAAGCUUUGAAUACAAGUGAUACAAGAGAGAUAGAAUACAAAUGAUAUGUUUGAUUCCCAAAAAUCACUUACUCUUCAUCAAUCCUAAAAUUUACACAAUAAUGAUAAUUAAUGGGUUUAAUUAACGUAAA